This 253-nucleotide ribosomal RNA is filed under the name uncultured bacterium. Its description in RNAcentral is "partial 16S ribosomal RNA". It matches the Rfam family "Bacterial small subunit ribosomal RNA", at positions 524 to 776 of the family's 1533-position model. The record is from RNAcentral.
GACGAACCGUGCGAACGUUGUUCGGAUUCACUGGGCUUAAAGGGCGCGUAGGCGGCUUCGCAAGUCGGGGGUGAAAUCGUUCGGCCUAACCGGACAAGUGCUUCCGAUACUGCGGGGCUCGAGGGGGGUAGGGGCAUGCGGAACUUCCGGUGGAGCGGUGAAAUGCGUAGAUAUCGUCAAGAACACCGAUAGUGUAGACAGCUUACUAAGCUUUAACUGACGCUGAGGCACGAAAGUGUGGGGAUCAAACAGG